RNAcentral lists this ribosomal RNA (253 nucleotides) under uncultured bacterium. RNAcentral's name for it is "partial 16S ribosomal RNA". It matches the Rfam family "Bacterial small subunit ribosomal RNA", at positions 524 to 776 of the family's 1533-position model. The record is from RNAcentral.
UACGUAGGGGGCAAGCGUUGUCCGGAUUUAUUGGGCGGAAAGAGCGUGUAGGCGGCCAGGUAGGUCCGUUGUGAAAACUCGAGGCUCAACCUCGAGACGCCGAUGGAAACCAUCUGGCUAGAGUCCGGAAGAGGAGAGUGGAAUUCCCGGUGUAGCGGUGAAAUGCGCAGAUAUCGGGAAGAACACCCGUGGCUAAGGCGGCUCUCUAGUACGGUACUAACGCUGAGACGCGAAAGCGUGGGGAGCGAACAGG